UACGUAGGUGACCAGCGUUGUCCGGAUUUACUGGGCGUAAAGAGCGCGCAGGCGGUCGUUCAAGUCGAGUGUGAAAGCCCCCGGCUCAACUGGGGAGGGUCACUCGAUACUGAUCGACUUGAAGGCAGGAGAGGGAAGCGGAAUUCCCGGUGUAGUGGUGAAAUGCGUAGAUAUCGGGAGGAACACCAGUGGCGAAGGCGGCUCACUGGCCCGAUACUGACGCUGAGGCACGAAAGCGUGGGGAGCAAACAGG
RNAcentral lists this ribosomal RNA (253 nucleotides) under uncultured bacterium. Its description in RNAcentral is "partial 16S ribosomal RNA". It matches the Rfam family "Bacterial small subunit ribosomal RNA", at positions 524 to 776 of the family's 1533-position model. The record is from RNAcentral.